AGAGUUUGAUGGUGGCUCAGGACGAACGCUGGCGGCGCGCCUAACACAUGCAAGUCGAACGAGAGAUGAGGAGCUUGCUCUUCAGAUCGAGUGGCGAACGGGUGAGUAACGCGUGAGGAACCUGCCUCAAAGAGGGGGACAACAGUUGGAAACGACUGCUAAUACCGCAUAAGCCCACAGCUCGGCAUCGAGCAGAGGGAAAAGGAGCAAUCCGCUUUGAGAUGGCCUCGCGUCCGAUUAGCUAGUUGGUGAGGUAACGGCCCACCAAGGCGACGAUCGGUAGCCGGACUGAGAGGUUGAACGGCCACAUUGGGACUGAGACACGGCCCAGACUCCUACGGGAGGCAGCAGUGGGGAAUAUUGCACAAUGGGGGAAACCCUGAUGCAGCGACGCCGCGUGGAGGAAGAAGGUCUUCGGAUUGUAAACUCCUGUUGUUGAGGAAGAUAAUGACGGUACUCAACAAGGAAGUGACGGCUAACUACGUGCCAGCAGCCGCGGUAAAACGUAGGUCACAAGCGUUGUCCGGAAUUACUGGGUGUAAAGGGAGCGCAGGCGGGAGAACAAGUUGGAAGUGAAAUCCAUGGGCUCAACCCAUGAACUGCUUUCAAACUGUUU
This 616-nucleotide ribosomal RNA is filed under the name uncultured Faecalibacterium sp. RNAcentral describes it as "bacterial SSU rRNA". It matches the Rfam family "Bacterial small subunit ribosomal RNA", at positions 8 to 638 of the family's 1533-position model. The record is from RNAcentral. Lineage: Bacteria; Bacillati; Bacillota; Clostridia; Eubacteriales; Oscillospiraceae.